AUGGCACGCCUUGAGACAAAGCAACCCUUGAGACUGUAGUGAGUGCAAAUGGCUUGUCAUAGCAGAAGGUCGAACUCCCUCUGAGUCACUGGGUGACUGACAGCUCUCCCUCCUUCGGAUGGCUCUUCCCCCAUAUUUUGAGUUCAUGACACACAUUCCCAAGUGCCUGUCUUUAAUGAAUCUUUGCGUAGCGUUCCUUCGUGUGGGGUGACACUCCAUCAUCCAGCGGCUCAGGAGCCCGAAGUCAGGCGCCCACUUGUCUUCUCGCAGGAUUGCCAUAGACUUUUUCUGUGUGCCCACCAUUCCAGACUGAAGUAGAGAUGGCAGUGGCAGAGACUGGGAAGGCUGCAACGAAAACAGGAAGUUAUUGCACCCUGGGAAUAGUCUGGAAAUGAAGCUUCAAAACUUGCUUCAUGUUCAGUUGUACACAGACUCACUCCCAGGUUGACUCACACGUGUAAAUAUUCCUGACUAUGUCUGCACUGCUUUUAUCUGAUGCUUCCUUCCCAAAAUGCCAAGUGUACAAGGUGAGGGAAUCACCCUUGGAUUCAGAGCCCAGGGUCGUCCUCCUUAACCUGGACUUGUCUUUCUCCGGCAGCCUCUGACACCCCUCCCCCCAUUUUCUCUAUCAGAAGGUCUGAGCAGAGUUGGGGCACGCUCAUGUCCUGAUACACUCCUUGUCUUCCUGAAGAUCUAACUUCUGACCCAGAAAGAUGGCUAAGGUGGUGAAGUGUUUGACAUGAAGACUUGGUCUUAAGAACUGGAGCAGGGGAAAAAAGUCGGAUGUGGCAGCAUGUACCCGAAAUCCCAGAACUGGGGAGGUAGAGAUGGAUGAGUGCCCGGGGCUAGCUGGCUGCUCAGCCAGCCUAGCUGAAUUGCCAAAUUCCAACUCCUAUUGAAAAACCUUUACCAAACAAACAAACAAACAAAUAAUAACAACAACAACAACAACAAACUACCCCAUACAAGGUGGGCGGCUCUUGGCUCUUGAGGAAUGACUCACCCAAACCCAAAGCUUGCCACAGCUGUUCUCUGGCCUAAAUGGGGUGGGGGGGGCAGAGACAGAGACAGAGAGAGACAUGACUUCCUGGGCUGGGCUGUGUGCUCUAGGCCACCAGGAACUUUCCUGUCUUGCUCUCUGUCUGGCACAGCCAGAGCACCAGCACCCAGCAGGUGCACACACCUCCCUCCGUGCUUCUUGAGCAAACACAGGUGCCUUGGUCUGUCUAUUGAACCGGAGUAAGUUCUUGCAGAUGUAUGCAUGGAAACAACAUUGUCCUGGCUUUAUUUCUACUGUUGUGAUAAAAACCGGGGAACUCCAGGAAGCAGCUGAGGCAGAGGCAAAUGCAAGGAAUGCUGCCUCCUAGCUUGCUCCCCAUGGCUUGCCGGGCCUGCUU
This 1397-nucleotide long non-coding RNA is filed under the name Cricetulus griseus (Chinese hamster). RNAcentral describes it as "lncRNA (ENSCGRG00015031022.1)". Lineage: Eukaryota; Metazoa; Chordata; Mammalia; Rodentia; Cricetidae. The record is from RNAcentral.